RNAcentral lists this ribosomal RNA (403 nucleotides) under uncultured bacterium. RNAcentral describes it as "partial 16S ribosomal RNA". It matches the Rfam family "Bacterial small subunit ribosomal RNA", at positions 28 to 526 of the family's 1533-position model. The record is from RNAcentral.
GACGAACGCUGGCGGCGUGCCUAAUACAUGCAAGUCGAACGCAGUGGGGACGGGUGAGUAACACGUGGGUAACCUCCCAUCAGAGGGGAUAACACUUGGAAACAGGUGCUAAACCGAUACUGAUGGAUGGACCCGCGGGGCAUUAGCGAGUUGGUGGGGUAACGGCUCACCAAGGCCACGAGGCAUAGCCGACCUGGGAGGGUGAUCGGCCACACUGGGACUGAGACCCGGCCCAGACUCCUGCGGGAGGCAGCAGUAGGGAAUCUUCGGCAAUGGACGAAAGUCUGACCGAGCAACGCCGCGUGAGUGAAGAAGGUUUUCGGAGCGUAAAGCUCUGUUGUUGGUGAGGCGGUAUCGAACGAGAAAGCCACGGCUAACUACGUGCCAGCCGCCGCGGUAAUUC